Molecule: long non-coding RNA, 333 nt
Filed under: Capsella rubella
Lineage: Eukaryota; Viridiplantae; Streptophyta; Magnoliopsida; Brassicales; Brassicaceae
Description: long non-coding RNA (CRUB_LNC004218)
Source: RNAcentral
GAGAAGUUUACUUGUGAAAAGGAGAGUGUUAGCUUUGCUUUGGUGUUUAAGGCAAGAGAAGCAAUUUCGUCACGUCUUGGUAGAAUAGAGAUCCGACGUAUCAAAUCUUAUCGAUAGGUAACGAAUUUUGGUAGGUUUGUUCCUAAGGCGUGUACGUUGAUUCUCCUUUAUACAGCAGUGAAUUCGGAUUAAUACUCAGUGAGUUACAUGCAGUUUGGUGAGACGCCUUUUCUCUGUUGCGAAUUGGGAUCAGCGGAGUUUGUAAGUGCGAUCGUGGUUUCAUCGUUUCUCCGAUCGGCAUCAAAGUUUGUGGGGAGAUUCGUGACGUCUGGG